AGGACGAACGCUGGCGGCGUGCUUAACACAUGCAAGUCGAACGGUAAGGCCCUUCGGGGUACACGAGUGGCGAACGGGUGAGUAACACGUGGGUGAUCUGCCCUGCACUUCGGGAUAAGCCUGGGAAACUGGGUCUAAUACCGGAUAGGACUCCUGGCUUCAUGGUUGGGGGUGUAAAGCUUUUGCGGUGUGGGAUGGGCCCGCGGCCUAUCAGCUUGUUGGUGGGGUAAUGGCCUACCAAGGCGACGACGGGUAGCCGGCCUGAGAGGGUGACCGGCCACACUGGGACUGAGAUACGGCCCAGACUCCUACGGGAGGCAGCAGUGGGGAAUAUUGCACAAUGGGCGCAAGCCUGAUGCAGCGACGCCGCGUGAGGGAUGACGGCCUUCGGGUUGUAAACCUCUUUCAAUAGGGACGAAGCGCAAGUGACGGUACCUAUAGAAGAAGGACCGGCCAACUACGUG
Molecule: ribosomal RNA, 464 nt
Filed under: uncultured bacterium
Lineage: Bacteria
Description: bacterial SSU rRNA
Rfam family: Bacterial small subunit ribosomal RNA
Source: RNAcentral